UUCUUUUUACGACUGACCAUUUCAUCAUCUUUCUCUUCUUUUCAUGGGAAGCUCAAGUCGUGAGUCGUGGGUGUGGCUUCAUCCUCAACGCCUUGGGCCCACCCUGUCAUGAGAUGAUGGGCCCACAUCGGUGGGGCCACGUAUUGCCAUGCCUAGCCGCUCUUGGAAACCUCCAUCUCCACUUCGCCGGAACUUGAGCUUCCGAUACCGGUGAUGGAGGCGACGUUUCCAGAAGGAAGAAGCUGAUAUCAUUCCUUGGCCAGGCACAUGUGCUUUUAGAGUCCAGGCAGAUUCAUCAACUUCAAACAUACUGUCCUGAUUUGAUCUUUUCAACGGGAUUUUGAUUGCCUUUGUUCAGUUUUUGAACGUCAACCUCACAUUGCAAGAUUCUUCUCAAUAAUAUUAUCUUUCCUUUCCUAAUUAAAGGAUGGAGAGGAAAACGAAAGAAGAAGAAAUGGAAAUGAAACACUAUCCAGCUGGAGUCUGCCACAUUUUAGUACAUUGAACCAUGGUAUGGGAUGUUAUAUGUCAAAAACUGUACCUUUAAGGUUAACUACUUACAGGUGUGCCCCUGUCAAUAUGCGUUUUUCGAUGAUCGAACUUGUAACGAUUUAGUGACCGCACUUGAUUGAUAAAUUUUAAUCCCAUAGUAAUAUUUUAAUAAUGGUUUGCUAGUGAAAUAUAAUAG
This is a long non-coding RNA of Jatropha curcas, 688 nucleotides long. RefSeq lists it as uncharacterized. NCBI's taxonomy places the organism in Eukaryota, Viridiplantae, Streptophyta, Magnoliopsida, Malpighiales, Euphorbiaceae. The record is from RefSeq and is a predicted model, not a curated record.